This 165-nucleotide non-coding RNA is filed under the name Acidobacteriota bacterium. The record is from RNAcentral. Lineage: Bacteria; Pseudomonadati; Acidobacteriota.
UCUAGCGUGCUAUACUGCGGUGGCCAAACUGACACCGCCGGGUGAUCAGGGGAAGUGGGUGCGAAGCCCACACGGUCCCGCCACUGUGAGCGGCGCCCGCCUUCGCCCUAACGGGCUACGGCGUGGCGCGCGAGUCAGGAAACCUGCCCCGGCGCUUGUCCCCUU